AAUUUCCUAUCUUAAGGGAGCAUUCCCAAACAUUCAACUAUACACAAUUUCCAUUUCUUUGAUCCCCGUCUAUUUUCUUUUCUUUUUCUUUUCACAUCCACACAACCAUGAGCCUUUUCUUUGUUUUUUCUUUCUUUUCUUUUUCUUUGCUCUAUGGUUUCAAGGGUGAUUUCUUUUUCUUGUUUCUUUUCAUACUUUCACCCUUUCAUAAAAACUCACUUCUCCAAGUUUCUAAUCAACUCUUUUUCUUUACUCUCCCCAACUUUAGAUUCCAAAACCAAUUUUAUUCAAUAAUGCUCCCUACUUAGACAUAAGCAAAAGGCAAAAUUUGCAAACAACUCGGUUUGAGGGUUC
RNAcentral lists this long non-coding RNA (354 nucleotides) under Lathyrus oleraceus (garden pea). RNAcentral describes it as "Pisum sativum (pea) long non-coding RNA (PSAT_LNC017478)". Lineage: Eukaryota; Viridiplantae; Streptophyta; Magnoliopsida; Fabales; Fabaceae. The record is from RNAcentral.